CCGGAGGGACGACCCGCCGGCACGAGGCUCCCUGGGGACGACCCC
This 45-nucleotide non-coding RNA is filed under the name Devosia sp. Its description in RNAcentral is "Guanidine-II sequence". It matches the Rfam family "Guanidine-II riboswitch aptamer (mini-ykkC)". From Rfam's summary of the family: Simpler in structure and has fewer highly conserved nucleotide positions than the ykkC-yxkD leader. Despite this each of its two stem-loop structures directly bind free guanidine. The record is from RNAcentral. Lineage: Bacteria; Pseudomonadati; Pseudomonadota; Alphaproteobacteria; Hyphomicrobiales; Devosiaceae.